GGUCAGUUGCAUGAAUAGGCAGGUGUAGGUGUUGCCAGUAAAGUGCUCGUUGAAUAUAUGUUUUUAAUCAAAGGCAAGUUAUGCUGACAGCUGUUUUUCUGCAGUUGAAAGGCAGUAACCUUCAACUACUCUGCUCCUCUUGAGUCUCUCUGAAAGAAACAUGAGUCUACACACUGUCUUCAACAUAAAGUACAAUCGCUGGAGUUGACUGACUGCACCGUCACAGAAAGUGUCCAAAGUUUUGGGUGUGCCGCUGACGACUCCUUGAAGUCUCCAUGUGGGCUGUCCCCCCGUGCACGAUCCCUACUGGUGUCUGAACAGUUGGAGGACCCACUUCUCUACCGGCUGAGGAAACCAUUUGCUGUAAUUCAUUCUUGAGGAGUACGAAGAACAACUACCAUAAAGUGAGACGAUCCACUUCAAUGCCACAAGGGUUUCAGUGCUCCAGUCUGUCAUCUGGUGAUGGGAGAAUCCUAGAUAACUCUUUUUACAGCCUAAACAAAAAGAAAA
Xiphias gladius (swordfish) is the source of this 510-nucleotide long non-coding RNA. RefSeq lists it as uncharacterized. Lineage: Eukaryota; Metazoa; Chordata; Actinopteri; Istiophoriformes; Xiphiidae. The record is from RefSeq and is a predicted model, not a curated record. The transcript has 4 exons.